Molecule: ribosomal RNA, 253 nt
Filed under: uncultured bacterium
Lineage: Bacteria
Description: partial 16S ribosomal RNA
Rfam family: Bacterial small subunit ribosomal RNA
Source: RNAcentral
UACGUAGGGGGCUAGCGUUGUCCGGAAUCAUUGGGCGUAAAGAGCGUGUAGGCGGCCCGGUAAGUCCGCUGUGAAAGUCGGGGGCUCAACCCUCGAAUGCCGGUGGAUACUGUCGGGCUAGAGUGCGGAAGGGGCGAGUGGAAUUCCUGGUGUAGCGGUGAAAUGCGCAGAUAUCAGGAGGAACACCAAUGGCGAAGGCAGCUCGCUGGAACGGUACUGACGCUGAGGCGCGAAAGCGUGGGGAGCGAACAGG